Molecule: ribosomal RNA, 497 nt
Filed under: uncultured bacterium
Lineage: Bacteria
Description: partial 16S ribosomal RNA
Rfam family: Bacterial small subunit ribosomal RNA
Source: RNAcentral
GAUGAACGCUGGCGGCGUGCCUAAUACAUGCAAGUCGAGCGAACAGACGAGGAGCUUGCUCCUCUGACGUUAGCGGCUGACGGGCGAGUAACACGUGGAUAACAUACCUAUUUUACUGGGAUAACUUCGGGAAACCGGUGCUAAUACCGCAUAAUACAUUCAACGGCAUGAUUCAAUAGUGAUAGACGGCUUUCCUGUCUCUUAUAGAUGGUUCCGCGCCGCAUUAGCUAGUUGGUAAGGUAACGGCUCACCAAGGCAACGAUGCGUAGCCGACCUGAGAGGGUGAUCGGCCGCACUGGAACUGAGACACGGUCCAGACUCCUACGGGAGGCAGCAGUAGGGAAUAUUGGGCAAUGGGCGAAAGCCUGACGGAGCAACGCCGCGUGAGUGAUGAAGGUCUUCGGGUCGUAAAGCCCUGUUAUUAGGAAAGAAAAAAAGUGUAAGUAAAUAUGCAUGUCUUGACGGUACCUAAUCAGAAAGCCCCGGCUAACUACGUG